RNAcentral lists this long non-coding RNA (878 nucleotides) under Corvus moneduloides (New Caledonian crow). RNAcentral's name for it is "lncRNA (ENSCMUG00000019681.1)". The record is from RNAcentral. Lineage: Eukaryota; Metazoa; Chordata; Aves; Passeriformes; Corvidae.
UUGGGAGCUCUCUAACUUCUCCUCCCUGCUUCUCUGGGGAGAUGCUCCUGGCAUGGACAUCCCAUCAGCCCAUGCAAAAGCAGCUGGCUGUGUCCCCCUGCUCACAGGGGCCUCUAAAUGCCCAUACAUGCAAAUGUGGAUGUAUGCACACCCCCCACAAAUGCUCACUGGAAGAAAAGACAAAGCAGAUGAAAUAGUGGUAGCUGUCUGCUUUCAUUUCUGCUUGUUUGCCAACAUUACGGGCUGUGUCCAGCAAGUGUUUUGUUUAUGGCAUUCUCUGGGGAGCUACUGGAGUGACUGAGCAUUGGGCCAUGCCUUUGGAAGUUCACACACCUCACAUCACUUUGGAGGAUGUUUCAAGAAGGGUAGAAGCACCUCAGUGGAAGAAAGAGUGGUUUACUGAAGUAAAUGGAACCUUUCAAGAGGACACCUUUAUAAUGCCAGAGAUAGGGAGAAAACGCAGAAAGUACUCAGACUGAAAAAGAUGUUCAGAAAGAAAAAAAAAAUUCUCUUCCAGGAAAUAAGCUCAUAUUACCAGAGUAAGCUCAGAAACAGUCUUAUCGAACGGGACUUUUUCCCUCAUACAGUACAGAGGAAACCAAUUCUGCUUUCUGCACACCUUCUCCAGUCCUUCCUUCAUCUCCACCAGCAGCCAUGGAGACCUGCCAACUGCAGACUGAAAAGGAAUCUUUCACCCAGUAGCUCAUCAGAGAAGAUCACAACCAUGAGCCAGUUGAGCAUAAACUAUUGCAGAACAAUACCCACAGCCUCCAUUUUCAGGAUGCAAAGAAGCAAAGAAAGGAAAUUCCCCAAAGUCUCCCGAUUCUGCUCAGAUUGAUGCCAUCCAUUUGCUUCCCUUUCAGGCAACUGCAGAGCGG